UGGAAAUGAUUUCAACUAUUUCCCAUUUGGUUCUGGCAGAAGAAUAUGUGCGGGGAUUGGCAUGGCAGAGAGGAUGUUCAUGUAUUCACUGGCUUCACUCAUUCAUUCUUUCGACUGGAAAUUGCCCGAAGGAGAGACAUUAGACCUCACAGAGAAGUUUGGGAUUGUUCUGAAGAAGAAAAUGCCUCUGGUGGCUAUACCUAUUCCAAGAUUAUCCAAUCCAACACUCUAUGAGUAAAAUAAAAGAUGUUGCUCUAUCCUGUCAAUGGUCUUAUGAACAACUCAAUGUCCACUGUUCCAUGUGAUAUGGCUGAUUUUUUUUAUGACUACUUAUGAAUUUGAAAUAAUAAUACAUGUAUUACUCUCAUUGGGUAUGUUGUUGUUGUGAACCAAAUGGACAAUAACAUAUACCAGUACUGCAGUAAUUAUUAUAUGCUUAUCGAUAAAUCUGUAUAUUGUAAUUUGUGUGUAAUUUAUCCAUAAGCGUAUGGUUUUGAUGAGCACAUAUGGUUGUAAUUAUUCUCAUUGAGGUUUGCAAUCUCCUGUUUCCUACCUUUUGCUAGUGUGUUCUUAUACAACUAUUGAAAUGUGUUUGUAGUGAUUAUACUUCUAUCUUUUGUACUAUAUAUGGAGAUGUGCUCCCUGUAAUUUGGAUCCAUUUCUAAUUAAUUCAAUGCUUUCUAUACAUACAGUUGGUACACAUCAAGAUUAUGAAACCUGCAAUCAGUGUGGCUGAAUCACCUGUAUUUGACUAGAUUCAUUCCAGAAUCUUCUCAACCGAAGUUAAAAUACCUAAUCAAGCUAUUCUUAUGCUGACAGUUUAGUUUCCUCGUUCACAAUGGUCGUUUGUGUGUUCCAGAUGGCAUCCGGAGGCGAUCAUUUCUGAGGUAGACGGUAAGCCACUCACUUCUAGCAGUCGUUCCAGAAAGGCUUGGGCACACAUGUUAAACCAAAAUUUAACCUUUAUAUACAACACUCAUGGACACAUAUGUUUCUAAGUAUCUGCAAGUUUUUGGUGUUAACUACAAAUGAUGUGAUUAAAAUAUCCCCUAGAUGUAAAUGAAACUACAUUGAAGUGGUGAAAUGACAAUGGCAUGAAGAUAUAUGUGGAAGUAUAAGAUGGAUAACAUGGCAUGGGAGAGUUUAAAUGGAAUCCGGAAACGAGGCAUGCCUUCAGGACUUCCUCGCUAUUCCCCAAGAGAAAACAAAGGGAAGUGAGAUAAAUGAUUUACACCCACUAAAUUCCCCACUUUGUUUUAGAAAGAUGUUCAUAAAAUUAAUCAAACAAAAUAGUAGUCAAAGUGUAAUUUUCUAUCUUAUUAUAUGGUAUAAUAGGUUACAAGAAUUAUUAUUAUUAUUAUAGAGAAAUCGGAAUAAAGAAGAUAAGCAUAAUACUAAAAACACAAGUGAAAUUAGUAUUACAAAGGAAAACCUUGAGCAAGGUGUGUGAAAUUUUCCUAAAAGAAAGUAAACAAAAAGGAUCUUAAAGAGCAUAUUUCUGCUGGCAUGAAGACAAUAUAUACCUAAUUUAAUACGAUUUCUUUAUCUGUCUUGUGGACAGGAAGAAGCACCAAUUCUAGCUGGAAGGUAUCAACAUCUGAAGAUUCAUUUGCACUACCCAACAAAGGUCAUUGACUUCUUCAGUUAUUUGAAUCCCAAGGUACAAUUAUAUUUGUUUACGCCAAAUUAUAUUAAUUUAUUGCUGUAUAAGGAACUAAUGUAUCAUAUCAAUUUUGAACGAAUCAUAUAUCUGCCGAAUACUUUUUGUCUUGAUCCAAGAUUUCUCAUUCCUUUAUCAAAAUACCAUUUUGUUUUAAGUGGUGUUAAAACAUUGAGCUUCCCACCAUAUUGGUUCUGCCAAUUUCCAUUUCCCUCUUAGGCUCAAAUAAUGUCUCUCAAAUUCUUCAAACCUCUGUUUGAUUCUUUCUCAUGUUCCUGGCAAGAAUCAAAUAUUGGACAAAAAGGUGUAUUUUACUCCUAUGUUCUUGGUAUUGUAGCUUUACUAUGGUUUCUUUGGUUUUUCAUUAACAAGUCAAAAAAGGGACAGCCCCCAUUGCCACCAGGGCCUAAAGCUUUGCCUUUGAUAGGUAAUCUCCAUUCUCUUGAUCCUGAACUUCACACCUAUUUUGCAUCUCUUUCCCAAACUUAUGGCCCCAUUUGUAGACUCUGGCUUGGUAAAAAACUUGGGAUCAUUAUUACUUCGCCUGCCUUAGCUCGCGAGGUUCUUAAGGAUCAAGAUACCAUUUUUGCUAAUAGAGAUGUGCCUGCUGCUGGUAGAGAAGCUACAUAUGGUGGCACUGAUAUAGUUUGGACUCCUUAUGGACCGAAAUGGCGCAUGUUGAGGAAAGUAUGUGUUCGCGAAAUGCUUAGUGGUUCUACUUUAGAUUCUGUUUAUGCAUUGAGGCGACGGGAGCUUAGACAAACGAUCAAUUACUUCUAUAGUCAGGCGGGAUUGCCUGUGAAUAUAGGUGAACAGAUGUUCUUGACUGUGCUUAAUGUGAUUACAAGCAUGUUAUGGGGUGGCACAGUGAAGGGCGAGGAAAGAGCUAGUCUUGGGGCAGAGUUUAGGCAUGUUGUUACUAAGAUGACUGAACUGUUAGGUACUCCAAAUCUUUCUGAUUUUUAUCCGGGCUUGGCCAGGUUUGAUUUGCAGGGUGUUACAAAGAAGAUGAAAGUAUUGGCAAAGAGAUUUGAUAAGAUAUUUGAGAGCAUGAUUGAUAAAAGACAGGAGAUUGAUAGAAAUGGUGGGAUGGAAACUGGUGUUGGCCAAGAAAAUAAGGAUUUUUUGCAAGUUUUGCUGAAACUGAAAGAUGAUGAAGCUGCCAAAAUGCCUUUGACCAUGCCUGAACUCAAAGCCUUACUCAUGGUAUGUUUUCUCAAUUGUGCAUGCUACUACAGGAAAAAUCCAGUAUGUUAACACUUAACUAUGAACCUUGAACUGAACUCCAGUAUCCAGCUCUACAAGUAGUAUGAAUUUUGUUGUACAUGAUAAUAACUUUAAAAAUACUGUGAACAGGAUAUGGUUGUCGGUGGAACUGACACAACCUCCAACACGGUUGAGUUUGCCAUGGCUGAAAUUAUGAACAAGCCAGACGUCCUGAGAAAAUUGCAACAAGAAAUAGAUACAGUUGUGGGUAAAGAUAACAUAGUGGAAGAGUCUCAUAUUCAACACUUGCCAUAUUUCUAUGCAGUUAUGAAAGAAGUCUUGCGUCUACAUCCAGCGCUUCCACUCUUGGUUCCUCAUUGUCCUAGUGAGACAAGCACUGUUGGAGGAUACACUGUUCCUAAAGGAUCUCGUGUUUUCAUAAAUGUAUGGGCAAUACAGAGAGAUCCUUCUAUAUGGGAAAAUCCAACUGAGUUUCAUCCAGAAAGAUUUUUCGAAAAUAAAUGGGACUAUAGUGGAAAUGAUCUCAACUACUUCCCGUUUGGUUCUGGCAGAAGAAUCUGUGCGGGGAUAGCCAUGGCAGAGAGGAUGUUCAUGUAUUCACUGGCUUCACUCAUUCAUUCUUUCGACUGGAAAUUCCCCGAAGGAGAGACAUUAGACCUUACAGAGAAGUUUGGAAUUGUUCUGAAGAAGAAAAUGCCUCUGGUGGCUAUACCUACUCCAAGAUUAUCCAAUCCGACACUGUAUGAGUAAGAUAUGUCUGUAGAGAGACGUGUUCUGCAUGAUGAUUAUAUCUU
Molecule: long non-coding RNA, 3681 nt
Filed under: Solanum tuberosum (potato)
Lineage: Eukaryota; Viridiplantae; Streptophyta; Magnoliopsida; Solanales; Solanaceae
Description: long non-coding RNA (STUB_LNC008573)
Source: RNAcentral